This 413-nucleotide ribosomal RNA is filed under the name Gloreugenia praecursoris. RNAcentral's name for it is "partial 16S ribosomal RNA". It matches the Rfam family "Archaeal large subunit ribosomal RNA", at positions 1903 to 2658 of the family's 2987-position model. The record is from RNAcentral. Lineage: Eukaryota; Metazoa; Mollusca; Gastropoda; Stylommatophora; Camaenidae.
CAAAAACAUAGCCUGAUGACACCMACAUAUUAGGURAUUUCUGCUCAAUGAUCUAUAUUAAAUAGCCGCAGUACCCUGACUGUGCAAAGGUAGCAUAAUCAAUUGACUUCUAAUUAGAGUCCGGAAUGAAAGAAUAUAUGAGGGGUAAGCUUUAUCAUUUAUUGGGAAAUAAGUUGCUUAGAGGGUGCAAAUUCCCUCGCACAAAUAAUAGACGAGAAGACCCUAGAAAUUUGUACCGAGAUUUUGUUGGGGCAACAUAGUAACAUUAAUCAAACUUACUAUAUUUUACUGGAAGUAUUACGGAUUGAAAAAAUUACUCUAGGGAUAACAGCAUAAUACGGAAGUGUUUGUGACCUCGAUGUUGGAUUAAGAAGUUGUAGUUUAGAAAAUAAUCAUUACGCUCUGUUCGAGCA